CACACAUUUUUCUCUUUCUGGGAAUUGGAGCAUCUCUCCACCCUCAGUCCUCCUCAUUUUCUCAGUAGAGAUGUCUAAAACAGUGAUUCUUAACCUUAAAAAACAGUUUCUACUUUUAUUGUUUUUUUGUGUGUGAUUUUGUAGGUGAGAGAAAGAAACCCUUGCCAUCCCUACAAAAACAGGUCACUGUGUGAUAUUUUUCUUCUUUUUUUAAUUUUUUUUUAAUUUUUUUUUUUUAUUUUCCCACUGUACAGCAAGGGGGUCAGGUUAUCCUUACAUGUAUACAUUACAAUUACAGUUUUCCCCCCACCCUUUCUUCUGUUAUAUUUUUCUGUUAAAAAUCUUAAGAUAAUUGGAGUUCCUGUUGUGGCUCAGUGAUUAAUGGACCUGACUAGCAUCCAUGAGGAUGCACGAUGGAUCUCUGGCCUUGCUCAGUGGGUUAAGGAUCUAGCAUUGCCCUGAGCCUGCGGUGUGUAGGUCACGGACAUGGCUCAGAUCCCACGUUGCUGUGGCUGUUGUGUAGGCCGGUGGCUACAGCUCCGAUUGGACCCCUAGCCUGGGAACCUCCAUAUGCCGGGGAUGCGGCCCUAAAAAAAAAAAAAAAAAUUAAGAUAAUCACUUUUAAGAACUUCAUAACCCUCCUUGAGAUUGGAAUCUAGGGUGUACUUUCUUCUUGGGGAACUCAAUUCAUCAGACUAAGGGAUUAUGUGACAGGUGGAAACCGCUUCCCUGAUGCCUUACCCCACCCCUAAAAUGCUGUCCCAGCCCGACUAUAGAGGGAAGCGAGGAGCAGGGACUAGAUCUCUCAUCUCCUUUUACAUCGCUCCACGUUUCUUUCACUUAUUGAGGGUCUGAGGGUUUGGAUCAGAGAAGAGGUUUUCUUGUUUGGAUUAAGGAGCUGGGUCAGGCAUGGUUAAGAAUGAAGUUGCAAGCUAGGAUAGAGGAGUGUGAGAGAGAGAGAGAGAGAGGGUGGAACGGCGGGACGGAGGGAGGGAGGUACAAAGUCAUUCCUGUGAAAAACCGGGAGACUGGCACGAAAGGAAGAAGGAUAGAAAACAGGGUGGGCUGGGCAUGUGCGCGUGCGCAUGCGCCAAAACAGAUGCGCGGGAUGUGGACACACACCGAGGGGCCUGCGAGGCCCUUGGAGGCUGCGUCCUCUGCGCCCAGGCAUCCUGUCUUCCCCCAGAUGCAAGCGGCUGGAACUUCGCUUCGGAAGAGCUCUGGGCAGUGAAUCAACAUAGCGUUUACUCUCGUGUUCUGAGUUAGAAUAGUCUUUGCUCUGGAGUGGAUAACCAUCCUGAAAAAUCUAAAACAUAUUUUUGAUUAUUUCAGAAGGCCCUUCUGCACCCUGACUUCAAUUUCCAGCCUGAUGGAGGGUGGAGGGCCUGGAAUCCUGGUGUUUCCUCCUUCAAUCCCAAGUCCUGCUUCAUGUGGUCCCAGGAAGAGAGGAGAGUGUGAUUUUUAUUUGUGGGGGAGGGCCUUGGCAGUUCAGGGGUCCCACAGGCUGCAGAUAGGGUUGCACUAUUGUGCAUUAUAGAUUUCUAGAACUGAAUAACAGUUGCUGUCUCCAAAGAUGAGAUGGGACAAACAGCUCCUUGUUUCCCCCCCCCCCCCGAGGAAAUGACAGGUCUGUGUGUGUUUGAGGGUUCAAGGGAUGUGUUAAUUGGAUUGUAACUCUCGGAAUAUAUAUUUUUGUUCAUUUGAAUAUGUUAACUCCCAAGUUGUGUUACUGUAACCGUGGGGAAGCAAUGGCCUAGGGAAUAAUUCAAGGCAGCAGAUAAUCCCCAAACCCUUUAUGAAUAUACUUGAAAGGUCAUGGGACGGGCUUUGCUAGGUGCCUGCAGGCUUCUCUGGGCCAAGAGGAGAAAGUCAUUAAGGGCGACAAAGCUCCUCUUAGCUCCACACCAGGACAGCCGUAUAGAUCGGAGGCAGGAAAUUGCAGGCAACAUGUCUGGUCAGGUGGAAAGGCAGAGAGGCUCGAAAGGGCCUCAGGGGCAGCAUGCUACUGCAAGGCUAGCAAACGUGUUGAAAGGCCAAGGGCACAGAGAGUGGCAGGAUGAAGUGUGGAUUGAGAGAGGUUAGAAAGCAAUAGAAACUCCCAGCUGACCUUGCUCCGGAAUUAGCCAAAGCACCAGCCCAGAACUGCCUGAGCACUGGAAAAAAAUCGUUAGGUGAGAAUUCAAGUGGAGAUUUGUCAUUCAUAGGCUGUGUGAAUUUCCCCUUCCUGUGUCAGUUUCCUAGGGGAGUCAGCUCAAAUGGUAAAUGAUUAUUUCAUUUUUCACAAAAUCAUAAGAAAAAAUUGAUAAAAGUGUAAAAAUUAUAAUCCUAUCUUGUUAAUAUAAUACAUAUUUUUUAUGUUUGU
RNAcentral lists this long non-coding RNA (2362 nucleotides) under Sus scrofa (pig). RNAcentral's name for it is "lncRNA (ENSSSCG00015009406.1)". The record is from RNAcentral. Lineage: Eukaryota; Metazoa; Chordata; Mammalia; Artiodactyla; Suidae.